This 150-nucleotide non-coding RNA is filed under the name Paenibacillus sp. RNAcentral describes it as "FMN sequence". It matches the Rfam family "FMN riboswitch aptamer (RFN element)". From Rfam's summary of the family: The RFN element is a highly conserved domain that is found frequently in the 5'-untranslated regions of prokaryotic mRNAs that encode for flavin mononucleotide (FMN) biosynthesis and transport proteins. The record is from RNAcentral. RNAcentral also lists the same sequence under 1 other name. Lineage: Bacteria; Bacillati; Bacillota; Bacilli; Caryophanales; Paenibacillaceae.
CAAGAUUCUCGGGGUAAGGUGAAAUUCCUGACCGGCGGUGAUGUUCAAAGCGAACUAAGCCCGCGACUCAAGCUCCGCUGUUAAGGCGGAAUUGACUGAUCUGGUGACAAUCCAGAGCCGACGGUAAAGUCCGGAUGGGAGAGGAUCAAA